GAAUAUUGAUGGGCUUUUAGUCAAACUUGAAAAAAGAUGGACUGAAACAAAUUCCUUUCACUAAAAUCCAAUCAUCUUCGUCCCUAGUAAUGUGGAUGAAGCAUCAUUUCAAGCAUCACGAGAGACGACACGUGAAGGAGAAACCAUGAGGCAACAAUAAGCGGACAAAGCAGCAUAAGAGUGACGACAAGCAGAGGAAGUAGCACAAGAGCGACGGCAUGCAGAGGAGGCAGCAUGAGAGCAACAAUAAGCGAAAGAGGUAGCACGAGAGUGACGGCAGGCAAAGGAGGCAGCAUCGCCGAUAAGUCCAGGCGGAAGCAACAAUGAGAGCAAUGACAGUGGCAAGUGACACGAAACCAAAAAAAAAUUGUAGAUGGCGGUGCCCUUUAUUGCUGUAAUUGCUUUUUUUUUUUUGUUCAAGGAUAUUUGAGAUUGCCUCUAUCUGGUUACUUUUUUCUUUCAAUUUUUUCUUCUGC
This 476-nucleotide long non-coding RNA is filed under the name Ricinus communis (castor bean). RNAcentral describes it as "long non-coding RNA (RCOM_LNC001632)". Lineage: Eukaryota; Viridiplantae; Streptophyta; Magnoliopsida; Malpighiales; Euphorbiaceae. The record is from RNAcentral.